RNAcentral lists this ribosomal RNA (377 nucleotides) under uncultured bacterium. Its description in RNAcentral is "bacterial SSU rRNA". It matches the Rfam family "Bacterial small subunit ribosomal RNA", at positions 523 to 898 of the family's 1533-position model. The record is from RNAcentral.
AUACGUAGGGGGCGAGCGUUGUCCGGAAUUAUUGGGCGUAAAGCGCGCGCAGGCGGUCCCUUAAGUCUGAUGUGAAAGCCCACGGCUCAACCGUGGAGGGUCAUUGGAAACUGGGGGACUUGAGUGCAGAAGAGGAGAGCGGAAUUCCACGUGUAGCGGUGAAAUGCGCAGAGAUGUGGAGGAACACCAGUGGCGAAGGCGGCUCUCUGGUCUGUAACUGACGCUGAGGCGCGAAAGCGUGGGGAGCAAGCAGGAUUAGAUACCCUGGUAGUCCACGCCGUAAACGAUGAGUGCUAAGUGUUAGAGGGGUUAAACCCUUUAGCGCUGUAGCUAACGCGUUAAGCACUCCGCCUGGGGAGUACGGCCGCAAGGCUGAA